Molecule: ribosomal RNA, 490 nt
Filed under: uncultured organism
Description: SSU rRNA
Rfam family: Bacterial small subunit ribosomal RNA
Source: RNAcentral
GAACGCUAGCUACAGGCUUAACACAUAGCAAGUCGAGGGGCAGCAUGAUCGAAGCUUGCUUUGAUCGAUGGCGACCGGCGCACGGGUGCGUAACACGUAUCCAAUCUACCCACCGCUCAGGGAUAGCCUUGCGAAAGUAAGAUUAAUACCUGAUGGUUUCCUUAUGUGGCAUCAUGUAUGGAAUAAAGAUUCAUCGGCGAUGGAUGAGGAUGCGUCCGAUUAGCUUGUUGGCGGGGUAACGGCCCACCAAGGCAACGAUCGGUAGGGGUUCUGAGAGGAAGGUCCCCCACACUGGAACUGAGACACGGUCCAGACUCCUACGGGAGGCAGCAGUGAGGAAUAUUGGUCAAUGGCCGAGAGACUGAACCAGCCAAGUAGCGUGAGGGAAGACUGCCCUAUGGGUUGUAAACCUCUUUUGUUCGGGAAUAAAGUGCCGCACGUGUGCGGUUUUGUAUGUACCGUUCGAAUAAGCAUCGGCUAAUUCCGUGCC